UUUUUCUUGUGUACUUGAUCAUAUAAAAAUAAUAUACGUGCAAUUUUCAUCUCCUUUUUAUGUGAGUUUAACAAACAAUUAGUUCUAAAGAUGCUAAAUUAAUUUCAUUCUUUAUUAAUUUUUGUGCAAUUGUUUACAUCUUAUAAAGUAUAUUGAUUUUCUUGAACUGUAUUGCCAAAAUCCAUACAAUAACUUGUGUUACAGUUUAU
This 209-nucleotide long non-coding RNA is filed under the name Capsicum annuum. Its description in RNAcentral is "long non-coding RNA (CANN_LNC002170)". Lineage: Eukaryota; Viridiplantae; Streptophyta; Magnoliopsida; Solanales; Solanaceae. The record is from RNAcentral.